UCGUGCUAGACGGGGAGUUAGCGGUGCCCUGAACCUGAAAUCCGCUUAUGCAGGGUUGAAUUCCUGUUUGAGGCGCCGUUUUUCAGAGUCCGGCUCCGGUAAGAGACGUUGAGGAUCGGGCUCUGCGCAAUGGAAACCUGUGAACCCCGCCAGGACCGGAAGGUAGCAACGGUAAGCGGGAAAUUCCAUGUGCCGCAGAUCUUACCUGGUCGGAGUUGGCUGCCGGAGUAACGUCUGGAGAGCGGUUGUCGAGAAGAGGUGCACGG
RNAcentral lists this signal recognition particle RNA (266 nucleotides) under Armatimonadota bacterium. RNAcentral describes it as "Armatimonadetes bacterium (groundwater metagenome) signal recognition particle sRNA large type". It matches the Rfam family "Bacterial large signal recognition particle RNA". Rfam says of the family: The signal recognition particle (SRP) is a universally conserved ribonucleoprotein involved in the co-translational targeting of proteins to membranes. Archaeal SRP consists of a 7S RNA and homologues of the eukaryotic SRP19 and SRP54 proteins. Lineage: Bacteria; Bacillati; Armatimonadota. The record is from RNAcentral.